This 406-nucleotide ribosomal RNA is filed under the name uncultured bacterium. RNAcentral describes it as "partial 16S ribosomal RNA". It matches the Rfam family "Bacterial small subunit ribosomal RNA", at positions 29 to 526 of the family's 1533-position model. The record is from RNAcentral.
AUUGAACGCUGGCGGCACGCCUAACACAUGCAAGUCGAACGAGUGGCGGACGGGUGAGUAAUGUCUGGGAAACUGCCUGAUGGCGGGGGCUAACUCCUGGAAACGGUAGCUCAUACCGCAUACCAACGGAUGUGCCCUGAUGGGCAGAGCUAGUAGGUGGGGUAAAGGCUCACCAAGGCGACGAUCCCUAGCUGGUCUGCGAGGAUGACCAGCCACACGGGAACUGAGACACGGUCCAGACUCCGACGGUAGGCAGCAGUGGGGAAUAUUGCGCGUGGGGCGCAAGCCUGAUGCAGCCAUGCCGCGUGUAUGAAGAAGGCCUUCGGGUUGUAAAGUACUUUCAGCGGGGAGGCGUUACCCGCAGAAGAAGCACCGGCUAACUCCGUGCCAGCAGCCGCGGUAAUUC